AUGUUCACAUAUAGAGCACAUUAGAAGCCAACAUUCUGCGGGCUAAAGAUCGUCGAGGCAAUCAACUUUUGUACUACUGUACAUCGUACCAAGCAGUUGUUGGCAGAAGUAAAAUGUUGAGGAAAUAUGUUACACUCUACAGGAAACAAUACAUUUUUAUACAUGAUACUAAGGAUUUAGCUGAUAGUUGUUAGUAUGUAGGUAACAAAUUAUUCAAUAAAAUACCACUAUUUGUCUAAGGAUUUACUAAGCAUGCUUAUAAACAUAAUGUGAUUGGCUCAUUGCCUGCCCAUUUUGCAAUGUGAAGGGAAAAUGAUUAAAUGUAAUUCCAGUGCUUAACCUACUCUUCUUUUACAGAGGGUAGUGUAACAUUUAUUGACAUUAUCUGUUGGUGUAAUGACACCAUUUGCCCCAAUGACUUGGUAAUAAAAUUAUUACUGUUAAAUUAUCCUUCAGGUAUGUCACAUGGAGCACUUAACUAAACAAACUUUGUUCUCGGCUAGAGUUUGAAGCAAGCUAUCGAACUGUUCACCAUUCCGUCGCCUUACAGAAUCGCCCACUGUAACUGUUUUGAAGCCAUAGUUGCUUGCACCAUUCUCCCAGAGGUGGACUUGGGGAUGUAUUUGGGGGAGGAGUGAAACAGUCUGUCAGAACUAGUCGUACAGCAAAAAUUUGAGGGGGCCAUCUGGAGGUGGCACUGAGGCAGCAACAACACACAUCACAACCUGUCGGUGAUGUGUCUGGUGCCAUCACCACAUACAGUUCAAUUUUUGGCUACCCUCACCACAUGCGGGGGUUUCCAGCGACCCCUUAGCAGCAUCCGGGCCCAUCGUGGAUGCCAUCCAUGUGUUUUGGACCAUCACAGAUGUAUUGGUUAUGCAGUUUUGAUGCAAAAUUGAACCUGAAAACCUGAUAAAAUGUGGAUUCCAGUGGAUAAAGCUCAAUGUGUGUGGCCUGGUAGAUACAGACGAUAUCAGAUACCCAAGUGCAAUGAUACUCUAGGACUUGGAAUACAUCAUUUAUGGAAACAGGUCGUGCAAUUUUGAUGCGAAAUGGAACCUGAAAACCUGCUAAAAUGUGGAUACCAGUGGAUAAAGCUCAAUGUGUGUAGCCUGGUAUAUACAGACGAUAUCAGAUACCGAAGUGCAAUGAUCCUUUCGGACUUGGAAUACAUCAUUUAUGGAAACAGUGCUCACAAGACGUUUACAGUGGGGUGUGCAGUUGAGAACAGUUCUCCAUCUACCCCUAAGCGCUCACCAGAAUUAUUCAAAGUGGGGCACUCUGCCAAUUCUAAGAAGCAGGCCAAAGAUGUCCUGGUAAGCAGCACAUUGUCAAUGCUGCGAGACA
Schistocerca piceifrons (Central American locust) is the source of this 1347-nucleotide long non-coding RNA. RefSeq lists it as uncharacterized. The transcript is spliced from 5 exons. The record is from RefSeq and is a predicted model, not a curated record. Lineage: Eukaryota; Metazoa; Arthropoda; Insecta; Orthoptera; Acrididae.